AAGUAGGUCAUUCCCGAUAGUUCGUCCAAAUAUGGUGACGCAAGGUACUCUGGUUCCAAUACCAUGGGUAUGUCGAAUUCGCGCUUCGAGAUCUCCAUCGCUUUUCGGCAAUUGUACACGCUGCGAACGGAAGGAAUUAAAUGGUACAGGGAGCCUAAUUUAUAUUAAAUCGAUUUCUCGAUUAUACCUAUCGCUGGAAUCAAGUUGGCGCCAGUGACUGAAUAGACCCGGUUGGCAAUAAUCGAGCAACGCGCUCAGGUACACGCCGGAGUUCCAGUCCGUCGUGAAAUUGUUCACCCUGCAUUCCGGCAAGACUGCCUGUAAAAGAACAGACAAAGUUCCUUUCGAUGCGCGAGACGCGUAAAUGCACGGAGGGCCUUAUCGUCGAUGCAUCGGUUUGGCGCUCGCUGGUUGGAAAUGAAAUUAGUCGGCAGCUACACGAGUAUAAUCGUAAUGGGGCUCAACAGCCUCGUAGGUGCCGAUAGAGCGCAAGAAAGGCAACGACCUCGAGGUACGAUUUGCAAGCCGUGACGUAACAACUAUGGUUUUUAUAAUGAGAGAUAACUGAAACGCGUACUCGAACUAAAUACAAUACACUUACUGCGACGUUACGCCUUCAUCGGGUAUGAGACAUAUCCGAACAAAAGAAAGAACGACGAAAAAAGAACAUUUGUAAAUUUAAUCGGACUCUAUAGACAACGAGGCGAGCUAAUAACAGGUCUUCAUUGUUACGAGCUUCUAUGCAUUAUGGAAUUAAAUAUAGAGCGAGGAACAAAGAAAAUUACCGUGUGUACGUCUCG
Hylaeus anthracinus is the source of this 800-nucleotide long non-coding RNA. RefSeq lists it as uncharacterized. Lineage: Eukaryota; Metazoa; Arthropoda; Insecta; Hymenoptera; Colletidae. The record is from RefSeq and is a predicted model, not a curated record. The transcript is spliced from 3 exons.